UAGUUAGUGGAAGCGUCUGGAAAGGCGCGCGAUACAGGGUGACAGCCCCGUACACAAAAGCGCAUGUGCUGUGAGCUCGAUGAGUAGGGCGGGACACGUGGUAUCCUGUCUGAAUAUGGGGGGACCAUCCUCCAAGGCUAAAUACUCCUGACUGACCGAUAGUGAACCAGUACCGUGAGGGAAAGGCGAAAAGAACCCCGGCGAGGGGAGUGAAAAAGAACCUGAAACCGUGUACGUACAAGCAGUGGGAGCCCCACCACCAAAGCAUUCUCUGGUGUUGAAGGCCCUGCAAAGCAGCAUCGCGGUGGCGGAGCGUCGUUUGCGACGCCCAACACACAAAACAAGCGGUGAGUGCUUUGGGGUGGGGUGACUGCGUACCUUUUGUAUAAUGGGUCAGCGACUUAUAUUCUGUAGCAAGGUUAACCGAAUAGGGGAGCCGGAGGGAAACCGAGUCUUAAUUGGGCGUUAAGUUGCAGGGUAUAGACCCGAAACCCGGUGAUCUAGCCAUGGGCAGGUUGAAGGUUGGGUAACACUAACUGGAGGACCGAACCGACUAAUGUUGAAAAAUUAGCGGAUGACCUGUGGCUGGGGGUGAAAGGCCAAUCAAACCG
RNAcentral lists this ribosomal RNA (611 nucleotides) under Salmonella enterica subsp. enterica serovar Kentucky. RNAcentral describes it as "bacterial LSU rRNA". It matches the Rfam family "Bacterial large subunit ribosomal RNA", at positions 326 to 840 of the family's 2925-position model. Lineage: Bacteria; Pseudomonadati; Pseudomonadota; Gammaproteobacteria; Enterobacterales; Enterobacteriaceae. The record is from RNAcentral.